GCCGCGUGAGUGAUGAAGGUUUUCGGAUCGUAAAGCUCUGUUGUUAGGGAAGAACAAGUGCCGUUCAAAUAGGGCGGCACCUUGACGGUACCUAACCAGAAAGCCACGGNUAACUACGUGCCAGCAGCCGCGGUAAUACGUAGGUGGCAAGCGUUGUCCGGAAUUAUUGGGCGUAAAGGGCUCGCAGGCGGUUUCUUAAGUCUGAUGUGAAAGCCCCCGGCUCAACCGGGGAGGGUCAUUGGAAACUGGGGAACUUGAGUGCAGAAGAGGAGAGUGGAAUUCCACGUGUAGCGGUGAAAUGCGUANAGAUGUGGAGGAACACCAGUGGCGAAGGCGACUCUCUGGUCUGUAACUGACGCUGAGGAGCGAAAGCGUGGGGAGCGAACAGGAUUAGAUACCCUGGUAGUCCACGCCGUAAACGAUGAGUGCUAAGUGUUAGGGGGUUUCCGCCCCUUAGUGCUGCAGCUAACGCAUUAAGCACUCCGCCUGGGGAGUACGGUCGCAAGACUGAAACUCAAAGGAAUUGACGGGGGCCCGCACAAGCGGUGGAGCAUGUGGUUUAAUUCGAAGCAACGCGAAAGAACCUUACCAGGUCUUGACAUCCUCUGACAAUCCUAGAGAUAGGACGUCCCCUUCGGGGGCAGANUGACAGGUGGUGCAUGGUUGUCCUCAGCUCGUGUCGUGAGAUGUUGGGUUAAUUCCCGCAACGAGCGCAACCCUUGAUCUUANUUGCCAGCAUUCANUUGGGCACUCUAAGGUGACUGCCGGUGACAACCNGAAGAAGGUGGGGAU
Molecule: ribosomal RNA, 792 nt
Filed under: Bacillus amyloliquefaciens
Lineage: Bacteria; Bacillati; Bacillota; Bacilli; Caryophanales; Bacillaceae
Description: bacterial SSU rRNA
Rfam family: Bacterial small subunit ribosomal RNA
Source: RNAcentral